GGCGGCGUGCUUAACACAUGCAAGUCGAGCGGAAAGGCCCUUCGGGGGUACUCGAGCGGCGAACGGGUGAGUAACACGUGAGCAACCUGCCCCUGACUCUGGGAUAAGCCCGGGAAACUGGGUCUAAUACCGGAUACGACCGCCCCCGGCAUCGGGUGGUGGUGGAAAGUUUUUUCGGUUGGGGAUGGGCUCGCGGCCUAUCAGCUUGUUGGUGGGGUAGUGGCCUACCAAGGCGACGACGGGUAGCCGGCCUGAGAGGGCGACCGGCCACACUGGGACUGAGACACGGCCCAGACUCCUACGGGAGGCAGCAGUGGGGAAUAUUGCGCAAUGGGCGGAAGCCUGAGCCAGCGACGCCGCGUGGGGGAUGACGGCCUUCGGGUUGUAAACCUCUUUCAGCAGGGACGAAGUUGACGUGUACCUGCAGAAGAAGCGCCGGCUAACUACGUGCCAGCAGCCGCGGUAAUACGUAGGGCGCAAGCGUUGUCCGGAAUUAUUGGGCGUAAAGAGCUCGUAGGUGGCUGGUCGCGUCUGCCGUGAAAGCCCGCAGCUUAACUGCGGGUCUGCGGUGGAUACGGGCCGGCUAGAGGUAGGUAGGGGCAAGUGGAAUUCCUGGUGUAGCGGUGAAAUGCGCAGAUAUCAGGAGGAACACCGGUGGCGAAGGCGGCUUGCUGGGCCUUACCUGACGCUGAGGAGCGAAAGCGUGGGGAGCGAACAGGAUUAGAUACCCUGGUAGUCCACGCUGUAAACGUUGGGCGCUAGGUGUGGGGAUCUUCCACGAUCUCCGUGCCGGAGCUAACGCAUUAAGCGCCCCGCCUGGGGAGUACGGCCGC
This 833-nucleotide ribosomal RNA is filed under the name Nonomuraea sp. IM-3385. Its description in RNAcentral is "bacterial SSU rRNA". It matches the Rfam family "Bacterial small subunit ribosomal RNA", at positions 38 to 889 of the family's 1533-position model. The record is from RNAcentral. Lineage: Bacteria; Bacillati; Actinomycetota; Actinomycetes; Streptosporangiales; Streptosporangiaceae.